This 449-nucleotide ribosomal RNA is filed under the name uncultured bacterium. RNAcentral's name for it is "bacterial SSU rRNA". It matches the Rfam family "Bacterial small subunit ribosomal RNA", at positions 29 to 523 of the family's 1533-position model. The record is from RNAcentral.
AACGAACGCUGGCGGCAUGCCUAACACAUGCAAGUCGAACGAGACCUUCGGGUCUAGUGGCGCACGGGUGCGUAACGCGUGGGAAUCUGCCCUUGGGUUCGGAAUAACAGUUAGAAAUGACUGCUAAUACCGGAUAAUGUCUUCGGACCAAAGAUUUAUCGCCCAGGGAUGAGCCCGCGUAGGAUUAGCUAGUUGGUGAGGUAAAGGCUCACCAAGGCGACGAUCCUUAGCUGGUCUGAGAGGAUGGUCAGCCACACUGGGACUGAGACACGGCCCAGACUCCUACGGGAGGCAGCAGUGGGGAAUAUUGGACAAUGGGCGAAAGCCUGAUCCAGCAAUGCCGCGUGAGUGAUGAAGGCCUUAGGGUUGUAAGCUCUUUACCCGGGAUGAUAAUGACAGUACCGGGAGAAGUAAGCCCCCGGCUAACUCCGUGCCAGCAGCCGCGGUAA